UACGUAGGGUCCGAGCGUUGUCCGGAAUUAUUGGGCUUAAAGGGCUCGUAGGCGGUUCGUCGCGUCGGGAGUGAAAACUCGGAGCUCAACUCCGAGCCUGCUUCCGAUACGGGCAGACUAGAGGUAGGCAGGGGAGAGCGGAACUCCUGGUGUAGCGGUGAAAUGCGUAGAUAUCUGGAGGAACACCGGUGGCGAAAGCGGCUCACUGGACCUGAUCUGACACUGAGGUGCGAAAGCUAGGGUAGCAAACGGG
This 253-nucleotide ribosomal RNA is filed under the name uncultured bacterium. RNAcentral's name for it is "partial 16S ribosomal RNA". It matches the Rfam family "Bacterial small subunit ribosomal RNA", at positions 524 to 776 of the family's 1533-position model. The record is from RNAcentral.